UACGGGGGGAGCAAGCGUUGUUCGGAUUUACUGGGCGUAAAGGGCGCGUAGGCGGCCAGUGCAAGUCAGUUGUGAAAUCUCCGAGCUUAACUCGGAAAGGUCAACUGAUACUGCUCGGCUAGAGUACGGAAGGGGCAACUGGAAUUCUCGGUGUAGCGGUGAAAUGCGUAGAUAUCGAGAGGAACACCUGCGGCGAAGGCGGGUUGCUGGGCUGAUACUGACGCUGAGGCGCGAAAGGC
This 239-nucleotide ribosomal RNA is filed under the name uncultured bacterium. RNAcentral's name for it is "partial 16S ribosomal RNA". It matches the Rfam family "Bacterial small subunit ribosomal RNA", at positions 524 to 761 of the family's 1533-position model. The record is from RNAcentral.